This 495-nucleotide ribosomal RNA is filed under the name uncultured bacterium. RNAcentral describes it as "partial 16S ribosomal RNA". It matches the Rfam family "Bacterial small subunit ribosomal RNA", at positions 28 to 507 of the family's 1533-position model. The record is from RNAcentral.
GACGAACGCUGGCGGCGUGCCUAAUACAUGCAAGUAGAACGCUGAAGGAGGAGCUUGCUCUUCUGGAUGAGUUGCGAACGGGUGAGUAACGCGUAGGUAACCUGCCUGGUAGCGGGGGAUAACUAUUGGAAACGAUAGCUAAUACCGCAUAAGAGUAGAUGUUGCAUGACAUUUACUUAAAAGGUGCAAUUUCAUCACUACCAGAUGGACCUGCGUUGUAUUAGCUAGUUGGUGGGGUAACGGCUUACCAAGGCGACGAUCCAUAGCCGACCUGAGAGGGUGAUCGGCCAAAAUGGGAAUGAGACACGGCCCAGACUCCUACGGGAGGCAGCAGUAGGGAAUCUUCGGCAAUGGACGGAAGUCUGACCGAGCAAAGCCGCGUGAGUGAAGAAGGGUUUCGGAUCGUAAAGCUCUGUUGUAAGAGAAGAACGAGUGUGAGAGUGGAAAGUUCACACUGUGACGGUAUCUUACCAGAAAGGGACGGCUAACUACGUG